Molecule: RNase P RNA, 349 nt
Filed under: Clostridia bacterium
Lineage: Bacteria; Bacillati; Bacillota; Clostridia
Description: RNase P RNA component class A
Rfam family: Bacterial RNase P class A
About the family: Ribonuclease P (RNase P) is a ubiquitous endoribonuclease, found in archaea, bacteria and eukarya as well as chloroplasts and mitochondria.
Source: RNAcentral
AAAGUCGGUUGUGUAAUCGCGGGAACGCUAUUAAAGGCGUUAAUGAGGAAAGUCCGAGCAUCGUAGAGCAGGGCGCCGGAGAAAUCCCGGUGGGGGUGACCCUAAGGAAAGUGCAACAGAAAUAUACCGCCAUUUAUUUGGUAAGGAUGGAAAGGCGAGGUAAGAGCUCACCGUCCCUACGGUAACGCAGGGAGCCAUGUAAACCCCGUCCGAUGCAAGAUUGACAAAAUACCCACGUGGGUUGCUCGCCCGGGUAUUUUAUUAAAACAUCGCUGGAGGCAUACGGAGACGUUUGUCGUAGAUAAAUGAUUACACUAGACAGAACUCGGCUUAUAGACCGACUUUGCGG